RNAcentral lists this ribosomal RNA (506 nucleotides) under marine sediment bacterium BB0608_2216_5.1_6S0. Its description in RNAcentral is "bacterial SSU rRNA". It matches the Rfam family "Bacterial small subunit ribosomal RNA", at positions 85 to 591 of the family's 1533-position model. The record is from RNAcentral.
CUGAUGACGACCGGCGCACGGGUGCGCAACGCGUAUAGAAUCUGCCUUGUACUGGGGAAUAGCCCAGAGAAAUUUGGAUUAAUGCCCCAUGGUAUGUAACUGUGGCAUCACUAUUACAUUAAAGGUUACGGUACAAGAUGACUAUGCGUCCCAUUAGUUAGUUGGUAAGGUAACGGCUUACCAAGGCAGCGAUGGGUAGGGGCCCUGAGAGGGGGAUCCCCCACACUGGUACUGAGACACGGACCAGACUCCUACGGGAGGCAGCAGUGAGGAAUAUUGGACAAUGGGCGGGAGCCUGAUCCAGCCAUGCCGCGUGCAGGAAGACGGUCCUAUGGAUUGUAAACUGCUUUUGUACGGGAAGAAUAAGGGCUACGUGUAGUCUGUUGACGGUACCGUAAGAAUAAGGAUCGGCUAACUCCGUGCCAGCAGCCGCGGUAAUACGGAGGAUCCGAGCGUUAUCCGGAAUCAUUGGGUUUAAAGGGUCCGUAGGCGGGCCAUUAAGUCAG